GCUCGUAAUCUUUGAGAGCUCUUUUAGUCCCUACUCCUUAGAUAACACUGAAAAGCAAGGGGCCAAAAGUCACCAUGCAACUCAACUGGAACAAGGCUCUCUUCCUUUCCUAUCUGUCGAUAGUCGCCUUGUCUUGCGAAGCCGCACGAGGAGAGAUCAACACCACCGCCACUCCACCACCGUGCGAUGGCGCUGGCAGCACAACCGAGUGCCUUAUUGCUUACCAGCAACCAGAGCUGGAGGCUAUGGUGGAUCCGGGCAUGCUGGGCGCCCCCCCAUCAAACAGCUUUGCAGACAACUCUCUUAUCCAGAAAAGCGCCGUCGGUGACUGCGGCAAACCAAACAACCCACGACAGUACUUGCAAUGCCCUCCAGUUGCCAAUUGCCAACCAAAGUGCGACCAGUAUCACCGCGACCCUUGUUCUUGUUGAUGUCUCCAUCGCCUUUUGGACCCUCUAUGAUCCAAAAGAUUCAGUAGACCCGACGCGCGCAAUAACAUUUCCUCAUUAAGAAGACAAUCAGCUAGUGCUAAUCGAACUAUGGAGACAUGGAUGUUACGAGUUUGAGGGAUCAGUCGAUGUCGCGACCUCUUUUUUUCUAGCGCCCGCAAUCGGGUACGAGCACCUAAGGAGGCUAAUGGCUCGGCUGAAUUUAUUAUGCCCGGACUCUCCCAAGUCCACCAAUUCACG
This 689-nucleotide long non-coding RNA is filed under the name Eucalyptus grandis. Its description in RNAcentral is "long non-coding RNA (EGRA_LNC005683)". The record is from RNAcentral. Lineage: Eukaryota; Viridiplantae; Streptophyta; Magnoliopsida; Myrtales; Myrtaceae.